Molecule: ribosomal RNA, 301 nt
Filed under: uncultured bacterium
Lineage: Bacteria
Description: partial 16S ribosomal RNA
Rfam family: Bacterial small subunit ribosomal RNA
Source: RNAcentral
CAGUAGCCGCGGGAAUACGUAGGGUCCGAGCGUUGUCCGGAAUUAUUGGGCGUAAAGGGCUCGUAGGCGGUUUGUCGCGUCGGGAGUGAAAACCAGCAGCUUAACUGCUGGCCUGCUUUCGAUACGGGCAGUCUUGAGGCAUUCAGGGGAGAACGAAAUUCCUGGUGUAGCGGUGAAAUGCGCAGAUAUCAGGAGGAACACCGGUGGCGAAGGCGGUUCUCUGGGAAUGUUCUGACGCUGAGGAGCGAAAGUGUGGGGAGCGAACAGGAUUAGAUACCCCUGUAGUCCCUGUCUCUUAUCA